GCCCAACUUCCUUUCUUGUCUUGCUGCGUAUGUUUUGGAGUUUCUGUCCACAGGGAGUGCUUUCCCUGGGAGGACCCAUCUACCUCCCAUUCGGAGCUGUCUCUAUUUUUUUACCAGGAACUCACUAAGAAAACUCAUUACUUCCUCUCAAUUCAGUGAGUCAGGCCAAAGUCGACAUUUAGUGGGUGGAGACAAUGGGUGCCUCACUUAGAGUGAAGUCUCAAGGAGUCUCAUUCCUGAUUUGAAAUGACCCACAUGGAUUCACACUGUCUCAGAACCUUUAUUUCUUUGAGAUAGAUAUAUAUUUUCUGGAAGCUUGGAAAGUCCUGGGGGUGUUCUAUGAAUAGGCAAUCAAUAUGGACUUCAUUGAAAUAUCGUGUGUCAAUUGGAUUUCAUGCCUUAAUCACACUGGCAGAGAAAAGAGGGUAGUGGCUGCUUUGGAGAAUGGAGGAAGCUGGAAAGAAGAUAAAGAGUGAAGAUACAAGAAGACAACGGGAUGAGAUUCAGGGAAGAGAGAAGGUCAUAGAGCUGAGAAGGAAUUGACUUUUCUUCAUGUUAAGGGUGGCAGAGGGGAAGAAUUCAGCUGAUCACUAUUCAGGUGCAUCUGGAUCCAGGAAUAACAAACCAUAUGGGGUCCAACUCCUUCAAAAUGGAUCUCAGAUGUCAGGAAAAAGAUCAAGGUCAUAAACUCAGAUGUUGCUUCUAUUAGUC
Molecule: long non-coding RNA, 711 nt
Filed under: Capra hircus (goat)
Lineage: Eukaryota; Metazoa; Chordata; Mammalia; Artiodactyla; Bovidae
Description: lncRNA (ENSCHIG00000000976.1)
Source: RNAcentral